RNAcentral lists this ribosomal RNA (301 nucleotides) under uncultured bacterium. Its description in RNAcentral is "partial 16S ribosomal RNA". It matches the Rfam family "Bacterial small subunit ribosomal RNA", at positions 509 to 809 of the family's 1533-position model. The record is from RNAcentral.
CAGCAGCCGCGGUAAUACGAAGGGUGCAAGCGUUAAUCGGAAUUACUGGGCGUAAAGCGUGCGUAGGCGGUUUGUUAAGUCUGUUGUGAAAUCCCCGGGCUCAACCUGGGAAUGGCAAUGGUUACUGGCAAGCUAGAGUGUGUCAGAGGAUGGUGGAAUUCCCGGUGUAGCGGUGAAAUGCGUAGAGAUCGGAAGGAACAUCUGUGGCGAAGGCGACUAUCUGGGCCAUUACUGACACUGAGGCACGAAAGCGUGGGGAGCAAACAGGAUUAGAUACCCCUGUAGUCCCUGUCUCUUAUAA